UACAGAGGGUGCAAGCGUUAAUCGGAAUACUGGGCGUAAAGCGCAUGUAGGUGGUUGAUUAAGUUUGAUGUGAAAGCCCUGGGCUUAACCUGGGAAUGGCGUUGAAUACUGAUUAACUUGAGUCGGACAGAGGGCUGUGGAAUUUCCGGUGUAGCGGUGAAAUGCGUAGAGAUCGGAAAGAACACCAGUGGCGAAGGCGA
Molecule: ribosomal RNA, 200 nt
Filed under: uncultured bacterium
Lineage: Bacteria
Description: partial 16S ribosomal RNA
Rfam family: Bacterial small subunit ribosomal RNA
Source: RNAcentral